GAUGAAGAACGUAGCGAAAUGCGAUAAGUAGUGUGAAUUGCAGAAUUCAGUGAAUCAUCGAAUCUUUGAACGCACAUUGCGCCCUUUGGUAUUCCUUAGGGCAUGCCUGUUCGAGCGUCAUUUAAACCUUCAAGCUAAGCUUGGUGUUGGGUGACUGUCCGCUUCACGGCGGACUCGCCUCAAAAUUAUUGGCGGCCGGUACAUUGGCUUCGAGCGCAGCAGAAACGCGAACUCGGGCCCGUCGUAUUGGCUCCCAGAACCUAUCUUCACAAUUUUGACCUCGGAUCAGGUAGGGAUACCCGCUGAACUUAAGCAUAUCAAUAAGCGGAGGA
RNAcentral lists this unclassified non-coding RNA (332 nucleotides) under soil metagenome. RNAcentral's name for it is "partial contains 5.8S ribosomal RNA, internal transcribed spacer 2, and large subunit ribosomal RNA". The stretch from base 1 to 120 matches the Rfam family "5.8S ribosomal RNA", at positions 35 to 154 of the family's 154-position model. The record is from RNAcentral.